CCUACGGGAGGCAGCAGUGAGGAAUAUUGGUCAAUGGCCGGAAGGCUGAACCAGCCAAGCCGCGUGAAGGACGAAGGUGCCAAGCAUUGUAAACUUCUUUUGUCAAGGGACAAAAUCAGGCUCGAGAGCCUGACCGAGGGUACUUGAAGAAAAAGCAUCGGCUAACUCCGUGCCAGCAGCCGCGGUAAUACGGAGGAUGCGAGCGUUAUCCGGAUUUAUUGGGUUUAAAGGGUGCGUAGGCGGGCUGUUAAGUCAGCGGUAAAAGCCCGGGGCUCAACCCCGGCGAGCCGUUGAAACUGGCUGUCGUGAGAAGUCGAGAGGUAUGCGGAAUGCGCAGUGUAGCGGUGAAAUGCUUAGAUAUUGCGCAGAACUCCGAUUGCGAAGGCAGCAUACCGGCGGCGAUCUGACGCUGAGGCACGAAAGCGUGGGUAUCGAACAGGAUUAGAUACCCGGGUAGUC
Molecule: ribosomal RNA, 459 nt
Filed under: uncultured bacterium
Lineage: Bacteria
Description: partial 16S ribosomal RNA
Rfam family: Bacterial small subunit ribosomal RNA
Source: RNAcentral